UUCGCAAUGCCCGAAAGGGUGACGAAGCGACGCCGCGUGCGGGAAGAAGGCCUUCGGGUUGUAAACCGCUGUCGGGAGUUAAGAAAUGUAAGGAUGUUAAUAGCAUCUUUGCUUGACUAAGGCUCCGGAGGAAGCCACGGCUAACUCUGUGCCAGCAGCCGCGGUAAUACAGAGGCGGCAAGCGUUGUUCGGAAUUAUUGGGCGUAAAGAGCACGUAGGCGGCUAUGUAAGUCGGUUGUGAAAGCCUUCCGCUCAACGGGAGAACAGCAUCCGAUACUGCAUGGCUUGAGUGCGGGAGGGGAGAGUGGAACUUCUGGUGGAGCGAUGAAAUGCGUAGAUAUCAGAAGGAACGCCGGCGGCGAAAGCGGCUCUCUGGCCCAUAACUGACGCUGAGUGUGCGAAAGCUAGGGGAGCAAACGGGAUUAGAUACCCCGGUAGUCCUAGCCGUAAACGAUGGGCACUAAGUAGAGGGGUUUUAAUCG
This 482-nucleotide ribosomal RNA is filed under the name uncultured anaerobic ammonium-oxidizing bacterium. Its description in RNAcentral is "bacterial SSU rRNA". It matches the Rfam family "Bacterial small subunit ribosomal RNA", at positions 365 to 837 of the family's 1533-position model. The record is from RNAcentral.